RNAcentral lists this ribosomal RNA (393 nucleotides) under Triticum aestivum (bread wheat). RNAcentral describes it as "partial small subunit ribosomal RNA". The record is from RNAcentral. Lineage: Eukaryota; Viridiplantae; Streptophyta; Magnoliopsida; Poales; Poaceae.
AUGAAACCAAGUGCGGCAGAAAUGGCAUCAGCUAUGAGCUUGGACCCGCUGCUGUAUCCCGGAUUCUGGCUGGUCGUCCUCGGUGCGGCUGUAGUCAGUGGUGUCAUCGGUGUCAUCGGCGUCGGCAUCGAUGGAGCAGUGGAGUUCACACUCGUGCUUGGCACGCUCACCGGCGGUGACGGUUCUUGUCCCGCUGGAAGGAGCCCUUCAAGACAGUUAUUGAUUCAAAGAGACAUUUCAGUAUGUAGCGAGUCCCUGGCUGAAGAAAACCAUUUUGCACAAAGAGAUCGAAUGGAGAAUUCCAGCUCUAAGUUAUACCUUGGCAGGCGCCGGCGGCGGCGGGGAGAUCGAGCCGGCAGAGGGAAGGCAGCAGCACGGCGCGGGACAUGUUGA